This 656-nucleotide long non-coding RNA is filed under the name Mytilus galloprovincialis (Mediterranean mussel). The record is from RNAcentral. Lineage: Eukaryota; Metazoa; Mollusca; Bivalvia; Mytilida; Mytilidae.
UUUUGUUUUUAUUUCUUAUGAAACCCUCUUGUGACGUGUUCUUCAAAUAUGCAAGAGUAAUAAUAAGUUUAUAUUAUGUAUAUACAUAUAUAAGGCAUGGUACAUAAUAAUUCAAAUCUUAACAUGAAUAAAAAUCUCUAAUUGGCAACCACUGUUCUACAUGUAAUAGCUGCUUUAGAAGCAUAAACAGCAAAAACAUAAAAGAAGAAUGCUCCCCUCAGUUGGACUAUCUUCACCAAAUUUAGUGUCUUUUUAAGCGACCAUUUUUUUGUCUCCAUAAAAUGAAACAAAUAUGCAACUAAAGAAUUACGAGUUCAGAAUAAAAUGAAACUGUUUUGAAAACGAAAGGGUUGGUGCUUUUAUGAUUCUUCGUAUAGAUGCAAAUAUAGUUAAUAUGUAAAACAUGAACUUAACCAAAAAAGAGAAGAUGUUUAAUGGCUCUAUUAGGGUAUGGACAGAAGGUGUUUGUGCUGUUUGUCAUUAAAAAAGCCAUGGGUAAAUCUAAGUGUAUGUUCGCCGACUUUUUGAACUCAAUUGAACUGUCAUAUAUCUUACAAGAUCGUACUUGCGUCAUUUUAUUUAUACAGUUAUGGUUUUGUACGAAUGUGUUCCACGAUUCGUGCUCUUUGGGUAUAAUUCACAGUCCACAGUUCCUG